RNAcentral lists this ribosomal RNA (436 nucleotides) under uncultured bacterium. Its description in RNAcentral is "partial 16S ribosomal RNA". It matches the Rfam family "Bacterial small subunit ribosomal RNA", at positions 29 to 507 of the family's 1533-position model. The record is from RNAcentral.
AGCGAACGCUGGCGGCAGGCUUAACACAUGCAAGUCGAGCGGGCAUCCUUGUGGUGUCAGCGGCAGACGGGUGAGUAACGCGUGGGAACGUGCCCUUCGGUUCGGAAUAACUCAGGGAAACUUGAGCUAAUACCGGAUACGUGCGAGAGCAGAAAGGUUUAUCUGCCGAAGGAUCGGCCCGCGUCUGAUUAGCUAGUUGGUGAGGUUAUGGCUCACCAAGGCGACGAUCAGUAGCUGGUCUGAGAGGAUGAUCAGCCACACUGGGACUGAGACACGGCCCAGACUCCUACGGGAGGCAGCAGUGGGGAAUAUUGGACAAUGGGGCAACCCUGAUCCAGCCAUGCCGUGUGAGUGAUGACGGCCUUAGGGUUGUAAAGCUCUUUUCUCCGGGACGAUAAUGACGGUACCGGAGGAAUAAGCCCCGGCUAACUUCGUG